RNAcentral lists this ribosomal RNA (325 nucleotides) under uncultured eukaryote. RNAcentral describes it as "partial 18S ribosomal RNA". It matches the Rfam family "Eukaryotic small subunit ribosomal RNA", at positions 1470 to 1796 of the family's 1831-position model. The record is from RNAcentral.
CCCUUAGAUGUUCUGGGCCGCACGCGCGCUACACUGAUGCAUUCAACGAGCCUAUCCUUGACCGACAGGUCCGGGUAAUCUUUGAAUCUGCAUCGUGACGGGGAUAGAUUAUUGCAAUUAUUAAUCUUCAACGAGGAAUGCCUAGUAGGCGCAAGUCAUCAGCUUGCGUCGAUUACGUCCCUGCCCUUUGUACACACCGCCCGUCGCUCCUACCGAUUGGGUGUGCUGGUGAAAUGUUCGGAUCGGCCGUUUGUCGCGGUUUCCGCGGCUCGUGGCUGAGAAGUUCAUUAAACCCUCCCACCUAGAGGAAGGUGAAGUCGUAACA